UAUAUGGUAGGAGAGCGUUCUGUAAGCCUGCGAAGGUGUCUUGUAAAGGAUGCUGGAGGUAUCAGAAGUGCGAAUGCUGACAUGAGUAGCGAUAAUGGGAGUGAAAAGCUCCCACGCCGUAAGCCCAAGGUUUCCUGUUCAACGUUCAUCGGAGCAGGGUGAGUCGGCCCCUAAGGCGAGGCAGAGAUGCGUAGCUGAUGGGAAGCAGGUUAAUAUUCCUGCACCGUCGUAUGAUGCGAUGGGGGGACGGAUCGCGGAAGGUUGUCCAACGGUUGGAAGUGUUGGUUUUUGACUCAUAGAAGGCGCUUAGGCAAAUCCGGGCGCGGAAUUCAAGGGGUCGAGACGAGAGACUUAGGUCUUGAAGCAAUCGGAAGUGGUUCCAAGAAAAGCCUCUAAGCUUCAGUCAUACGAGACCGUACCGCAAACCGACACAGGUGGGCGAGAUGAGUAUUCUAAGGCGCUUGAGAGAACUCGGGAGAAGGAACUCGGCAAAUUGGUACCGUAACUUCGGGAAAAGGUACGCCCCGGUAGCUUGACUGGUUUACUCCAGAAGGGUGAAAGGGUUGCAAUAAACUGGUGGCUGCGACUGUUUAAUAAAAACACAGCACUCUGCAAACACGAAAGUGGACGUAUAGGGUGUGACGCCUGCCCGGUGCUGGAAGAUUAAAUGAUGGGGUGCAAGCUCUUGAUUGAAGUCCCAGUAAACGGCGGCCGUAACUAUAACGGUCCUAAGGUAGCGAAAUUCCUUGUCGGGUAAGUUCCGACCUGCACGAAUGGCGUAACGAUGGCCACACUGUCUCCUCCCGAGACUCAGCGAAGUUGAAAUGUUUGUGAUGAUGCAAUCUACCCGCGGCUAGACGGAAAGACCCCAUGAACCUUUACUGUAGCUUUGCAUUGGACUUUGAACCAAUCUGUGUAGGAUAGGUGGGAGGCUUUGAAGCGGGGACGCCAGUCUUCGUGGAGCCAUCCUUGAAAUACCACCCUGGUUUGUUUGAGGUUCUAACCUUGGUCCGUUAUCCGGAUCGGGGACAGUGCAUGGUAGGCAGUUUGACUGGGGCGGUCUCCUCCUAAAGUGUAACGGAGGAGUUCGAAGGUACGCUAGAUACGGUCGGACAUCGUGUUGAUAGUGCAAUGGCAUAAGCGUGCUUAACUGCGAGACUGACAAGUCGAGCAGGUACGAAAGUAGGACAUAGUGAUCCGGUGGUUCUGUAUGGAAGGGCCAUCGCUCAACGGAUAAAAGGUACUCUGGGGAUAACAGGCUGAUUCCUCCCAAGAGUUCAUAUCGACGGGGGAGUUUGGCACCUCGAUGUCGGCUCAUCACAUCCUGGGGCUGUAGCCGGUCCCAAGGGUAUGGCUGUUCGCCAUUUAAAGUGGUACGUGAGCUGGGUUUAAAACGUCGUGAGACAGUUUGGUCCCUAUCUGCCGUGGGCGUUGGAAAUUUGAAGGGGGCUGCUCCUAGUACGAGAGGACCGGAGUGGACAGACCUCUGGUGUACCGGUUGUCACGCCAGUGGCAUUGCCGGGUAGCUAAGUCUGGAAGAGAUAACCGCUGAAAGCAUCUAAGCGGGAAACUUGCCUUGAGAUGAGAUUUCCCAGAGCCUUGAGCUCUUUAAAGGGUCGUUCGAGACCAGGACGUUGAUAGGUCAGGUGUGGAAGUGCAGUAAUGCAUUAAGCUAACUGAUACUAAUUGCCCGUACGGCUUGUCCCUAUAACCUUAGCAGGU
This 1722-nucleotide ribosomal RNA is filed under the name Massilia frigida. RNAcentral describes it as "partial 23S ribosomal RNA". It matches the Rfam family "Bacterial large subunit ribosomal RNA", at positions 1222 to 2925 of the family's 2925-position model. Lineage: Bacteria; Pseudomonadati; Pseudomonadota; Betaproteobacteria; Burkholderiales; Oxalobacteraceae. The record is from RNAcentral.